GUGGGGAAUCUUAGACAAUGGGGGAAACCCUGAUCUAGCCAUGCCGCGUGAUCGAUGAAGGCCUUAGGGUUGUAAAGAUCUUUCGCUGGGGAAGAUAAUGACUGUACCCAGUAAAGAAGCCCCGGCUAACUCCGUGCCAGCAGCCGCGGUAAUACGGAGGGGGCUAGCGUUAUUCGGAAUUACUGGGCGUAAAGCGCACGUAGGCGGACCAGAAAGUUGGGGGUGAAAUCCCGGGGCUCAACCUCGGAACUGCCUUCAAAACUCCUGGUCUUGAGUUCGAGAGAGGUGAGUGGAAUUCCGAGUGUAGAGGUGAAAUUCGUAGAUAUUCGGAGGAACACCAGUGGCGAAGGCGGCUCACUGGCUCGAUACUGACGCUGAGGUGCGAAAGCGUGGGGAGCAAACAGGAUUGGAUACCCUUGUAGUCC
This 425-nucleotide ribosomal RNA is filed under the name uncultured bacterium. RNAcentral describes it as "partial 16S ribosomal RNA". It matches the Rfam family "Bacterial small subunit ribosomal RNA", at positions 354 to 796 of the family's 1533-position model. The record is from RNAcentral.